This 1241-nucleotide ribosomal RNA is filed under the name metagenome. RNAcentral's name for it is "bacterial LSU rRNA". It matches the Rfam family "Bacterial large subunit ribosomal RNA", at positions 1564 to 2817 of the family's 2925-position model. The record is from RNAcentral.
UGAUGACGAGACGCUAAGGCGUUGAAGCAGUGUAUGUACUUCCAAGAAAAGCUCGCAAUGUCACAAAUCAAAAAUGCCUGUACCAUAACCGACACAGGUGGGUAGGUAGAGUAUACUAAGGGGCGCGAGAUAACUCUCUCUAAGGAACUCGGCAAAAUGACUCCGUAACUUCGGGAGAAGGAGUGCCUUAUUUAUAAGGUUGCAAUAACAAGAUCCAAGCAACUGUUUAUCAAAAACACAGGUCUCCGCUAAGUCGUAAGACGAUGUAUGGGGGCUGACGCCUGCCCAGUGCCAGAAGGUUAAAGAAGUUGGUUAGUGUAUGCGAAGCUGAUGACUGAAGCCCUGGUGAACGGCGGCCGUAACAAUAACGGUCCUAAGGUAGCGAAAUUCCUUGUCGGGUAAGUUCCGACCCGCACGAAAGGCGUAAUGAUUUGGAUACUGUCUCGGAGAGAGGCUCGGUGAAAUAGACUUGUCUGUGAAGAUGCGGACUACCUGCACCAGGACAGAAAGACCCUAUGAAGCUUUACUGUAACUUGAAAUUGGAAUUGGACUUUGCUUGCGCAGUAUAGGUGGGAAGCGUUGAAAAUAUUCUUGCGGGAGUAUUGGAGCUAUCAGUGAGAUACCACUCUUGUAAUGUUAGAUUUCUAACUUUGAACCAUAAUCUGGUCAAAGAACAGUUUCAGGUGGGCAGUUUGACUGGGGCGGUCGCCUCCCAAAUGGUAACGGAGGCGUACAAAGGUUUCCUCUGAACGGAUAGAAAUCGUAUCUAGAGUGUAAAGGCAUAAGGAAGCUUGACUGUGAGACCUACAAGUCGAGCAGGGACGAAAGUCGGUCUUAGUGAUCUGACGGUACUGAGUGGAAAGGCCGUCACUCAACGGAUAAAAGUUACUCUAGGGAUAACAGGCUGAUCUCCCCCAAGAGUUCACAUCGACGGGGAGGUUUGGCACCUCGAUGUCGGCUCAUCGCAUCCUGGGGCGGUAGUACGUCCCAAGGGUUGGGCUGUUCGCCCAUGAAAGCGGUACGCGAGCUGGGUUCAGAACGUCGUGAGACAGUUCGGUCCAUAUCCGGUGUAGGCGCUAGAAUAUUGAGAGGAGCCUUCUUUAGUACGAGAGGACCGAGAAGGACACACCGCUGGUGUACCAGUUAUCGUGCCAACGGUAAACGCUGGGUAGCUAUGUGUGGAGUGGAUAACCGCUGAAAGCAUCUAAGUGGGAAGCCCACCUCGAGAUGAGUAUUCUCAC